GCGGGCGUCGCCAAGCGGUAAGGCAACGGCCUUCCAAGCCGUUAUUCGCGGGUUCGAAUCCCGUCGCCCGCU
RNAcentral lists this transfer RNA (72 nucleotides) under Chloroflexota bacterium. Its description in RNAcentral is "Chloroflexi bacterium (hydrothermal vent metagenome) tRNA-Gly". It matches the Rfam family "tRNA". From Rfam's summary of the family: Transfer RNA (tRNA) molecules are approximately 80 nucleotides in length. Their secondary structure includes four short double-helical elements and three loops (D, anti-codon, and T loops). The record is from RNAcentral. Lineage: Bacteria; Bacillati; Chloroflexota.